Drosophila miranda is the source of this 405-nucleotide long non-coding RNA. RefSeq lists it as uncharacterized. NCBI's taxonomy places the organism in Eukaryota, Metazoa, Arthropoda, Insecta, Diptera, Drosophilidae. The record is from RefSeq and is a predicted model, not a curated record. The transcript has 3 exons.
GGCAACUCCGUCGCCAUCCAUCUUGGGCCGGUGAGAGGAGGAGAGAAACUCACCCCGGGAGCUUCGUGAGUGUUAUGACCAUGGCAGAUUGCUUUAAAAUCCUGAUUGACGACCUUCUUGGGUUUGGACACGGUCUGCUCGGGCCAGGAGUCCAGAGUAAAGCUCAGUAGGCAUCGCGCCCAUAGGCCAGUCACUUCACUCAGUGGCUGCUACCGCCGACUCGGAAGAAAAGAACCGCCAGCCUGGAUCGGAGGCGGGCACAACGAGGAGGAGUUCGACCAGCCCUGAUAGCCAGAACGGUACCUCGUCAGCCCAGGGCCUAUUCCAGCCCCGGCGGCUCCGCAGACACACGGAGCGCGGCGCAAACACAGGAGCAACGGAGGCGCGCGACCGACCCGGGUUUUU